CUACCCUUGACAUGUCCGGAAUCCUGCAGAGAUGCGGGAGUGCCCGAAAGGGAAUCGGAACACAGGUGCUGCAUGGCUGUCGUCAGCUCGUGUCGUGAGAUGCUGGGUUAAGUCCCGCAACGAGCGCAACCCUUAUCAUUAGUUGCUACGCAAGGGCACUCUAAUGAGACUGCCGGUGGCAAACCGGAGGAAGGUGGGGAUGACGUCAAGUCCUCAUGGCCCUUAUGGGUAGGGCUUCACACGUCAUACAAUGGUCGGUACAGAGGGUUGCCAAGCCGCGAGGUGGAGCCAAUCCCAGAAAGCCGAUCGUAGUCCGGAUUGUUCUCUGCAACUCGAGAGCAUGAAGUCGGAAUCGCUAGUAAUCGCGGAUCAGCAUGUCGCGGUGAAUACGUUCCC
This 396-nucleotide ribosomal RNA is filed under the name uncultured bacterium. Its description in RNAcentral is "bacterial SSU rRNA". It matches the Rfam family "Bacterial small subunit ribosomal RNA", at positions 975 to 1375 of the family's 1533-position model. The record is from RNAcentral.